This 505-nucleotide ribosomal RNA is filed under the name uncultured bacterium. Its description in RNAcentral is "partial 16S ribosomal RNA". It matches the Rfam family "Bacterial small subunit ribosomal RNA", at positions 28 to 507 of the family's 1533-position model. The record is from RNAcentral.
GACGAACGCUGGCGGCGUGCCUAAUACAUGCAAGUAGAACGCACAGUUUAUACCGUAGCUUGCUACACCAUAGACUGUGAGUUGCGAACGGGUGAGUAACGCGUAGGUAACCUGCCUGGUAGCGGGGGAUAACUAUUGGAAACGAUAGCUAAUACCGCAUAAUAUUAAUUAUUGCAUGAUAAUUAAUUGAAAGGUGCAAUUGCACCACUACCAGAUGGACCUGCGUUGUAUUAGCUAGUAGGUGAGGUAACGGCUCACCUAGGCGACGAUACAUAGCCGACCUGAGAGGGGGAUCGGCCACACUGGGACUGGGACACGGCCCAGACUCCUACGGGAGGCAGCAGUAGGGAAUCUUCGGCAAUGGACGAAAGGCUGAACGAGCAACGCCGCGUGAGUGAAGAAGGGUUUCGGAUCGGAAAGCUCUGUUGUAAGAGAAGAACGGGUGUGAGAGUGGAAAGUUCACACUGUGACGGUAUCUUACCAGAAAGGGACGGCUAACUACGUG